Non-coding RNA from Ictidomys tridecemlineatus (thirteen-lined ground squirrel), 72 nucleotides. The record is from Rfam. NCBI's taxonomy places the organism in Eukaryota, Metazoa, Chordata, Mammalia, Rodentia, Sciuridae.
UGGGUUGUGGCUCAGUGGGAGAGCACUUGCCUAGCAGGCAUAAGGCACUGGGUUCGAUCCCGGGCACCACAU